This 460-nucleotide ribosomal RNA is filed under the name uncultured bacterium. RNAcentral's name for it is "partial 16S ribosomal RNA". It matches the Rfam family "Bacterial small subunit ribosomal RNA", at positions 338 to 795 of the family's 1533-position model. The record is from RNAcentral.
CCUACGGGUGGCAGCAGUGAGGAAUAUUGGUCAAUGGACGAGAGUCUGAACCAGCCAAGUCGCGUUAAGGAUGACUGCCCUAUGGGUUGUAAACUUCUUUUAUAUGGGAAUAAAAUGUUCCACGUGUGGGAUUUUGUCUGUACCAUAUGAAUAAGGAUCGACUAACUCCGGGCCAGCAGCCGCGGUAAUACGGAGGAUCCGAGCGUUAUCCGGAUUUAUUGGGUUUAACGGGAGCGUAGGUGGAUUGGUAAGUCAGUGGUGAAAGUGUGCGGCUCAACCGUAAAAUUGCAGUUGAAACUGGCAGUCUUGAGUACAGUAGAGGUGGGCGGAAUUCGUGGUGUAGCGGUGAAAUGCUUAGAUAUCACGAAGAACUCCGAUGGCGAAGGCAGCUCACUGGACUGCAACUGACACUGAGGCUCGAAAGUGUGGGUAGCAAACAGGAUUAGAUACCCUAGUAGUC